RNAcentral lists this ribosomal RNA (445 nucleotides) under uncultured bacterium. RNAcentral's name for it is "bacterial SSU rRNA". It matches the Rfam family "Bacterial small subunit ribosomal RNA", at positions 335 to 795 of the family's 1533-position model. The record is from RNAcentral.
ACUCCUACGGGAGGCAGCAGUGGGGGAAGUCUUGGACAAUGGGCGCAAGCCUGAUCCAGCCAUGCCGCGUGAGUGAUGAAGGCCCUAGGGUCGUAAAGCUCUUUCGCCAGAGAUGAUAAUGACAGUAUCUGGUAAAGAAACCCGGCUAACUCCGUGCCAGCAGCCGCGGUAAUACGGAGGGGGUUAGCGUUGUUCGGAAUUACUGGGCGUAAAGCGCGCGUAGGCGGACUAGUCAGUUAGAGGUGAAAUCCCAGGGGCUCAACCCUGGAACUGCCUUUAAUACUGCUAGUCUUGAGUUCGAGAGAGGUGAGUGGAAUUCCGAGUGUAGAGGUGAAAUUCGUAGAUAUUCGGAGGAACACCAGUGGCGAAGGCGGCUCACUGGCUCGAUACUGACGCUGAGGUGCGAAAGUGUGGGGAGCAAACAGGAUUAGAUACCCUGGUAGCG